GUAGUCUCGCACAGAUGCAUAUCAAUAAGCGGAGGAAAAGAAACUAACAAGGAUUCCCCUAGUAACGGCGAGCGAAGCGGGAAGAGCUCAAAUUUGAAAUCUUAAAGGGUUUCCCUUUACGAAUUGUAGUUUAAAGAAGUGUUUUCUGUUGAGGUUUUGGUAAAAGUUCUUUGGAAUAGGACAUCAUAGAGGGUGAGAAUCCCGUAUUUGACCUUUACUUUCAACUUUGUGAUACACUUUCAAAGAGUCGGAUUGUUUGGGAAUGCAGUCCAAAAUGGGUGGUAAAUUUCAUCUAAAGCUAAAUAUUGGCGAGAGACCGAUAGCGAACAAGUACCGUGAGGGAAAGAUGAAAAGAACUUUGAAAAGAGAGUUAAACAGUACGUGAAAUUGUCUAAAGGGAAGCGUUUGACACCAGUGUUGUUUUUCUGAAAAUCAAUUAAAGAACUGUUUAUGCUAAGCUGUUUAGACUUUAUCAGCUAACUGUUUAGUUUUGAGCUUUUCUUUAAUGCACUUUUCAGUUAACAAGUCAACAUCAAUUUCUUUUGCUGUAAAAAAGCUUGAGGAAGGUGGCUUGAGAUUCGUCUUAAGUGUUUAUAGCCUCUUGCCUAUGCAGUCGGAGAGAUUGAGGUCUGCAGCGUAGAUCCUUCGGGGCUAAAUGCAUUUGUGCUAAGUUAUAGCAUUUUAUAGACAACUUGUUGACUAUGAUUUGUCUUGUAGCUUACUCGCUUAUGUUAUUUUACCUACGCUUAGGAUGUUGAAGACUCUACAGAGAUA
RNAcentral lists this ribosomal RNA (774 nucleotides) under uncultured Neocallimastigales. RNAcentral's name for it is "partial large subunit ribosomal RNA". It matches the Rfam family "Eukaryotic large subunit ribosomal RNA", at positions 24 to 633 of the family's 3401-position model. Lineage: Eukaryota; Fungi; Neocallimastigomycota; Neocallimastigomycetes; Neocallimastigales. The record is from RNAcentral.